This 264-nucleotide ribosomal RNA is filed under the name uncultured bacterium. RNAcentral's name for it is "partial 16S ribosomal RNA". It matches the Rfam family "Bacterial small subunit ribosomal RNA", at positions 90 to 354 of the family's 1533-position model. The record is from RNAcentral.
ACUGAGCGGCGGACGGGUGAGUAACGCGUGGGUAACCUGCCUCAUACAGGGGGAUAACAGUUAGAAAUGACUGCUAAUACCGCAUAAGACCACAGGGCCGCAUGGCCCGGUGGUAAAAACUCCGGUGGUAUGAGAUGGACCCGCGUCUGAUUAGCUGGUUGGUGGGGUAACGGCCUACCAAGGCGACGAUCAGUAGCCGACCUGAGAGGGUGACCGGCCACAUUGGGACUGAGACACGGCCCAAACUCCUACGGGAGGCAGCAG